This 776-nucleotide ribosomal RNA is filed under the name Rothia kristinae. RNAcentral's name for it is "bacterial SSU rRNA". It matches the Rfam family "Bacterial small subunit ribosomal RNA", at positions 49 to 831 of the family's 1533-position model. Lineage: Bacteria; Bacillati; Actinomycetota; Actinomycetes; Micrococcales; Micrococcaceae. The record is from RNAcentral.
CUACCAUGCAGUCGAACGCUGAAGCCUGGUGCUUGCACCGGGUGGAUGAGUGGCGAACGGGUGAGUAAUACGUGAGUGACCUGCCUUUGACUCUGGGAUAAGCCUGGGAAACUGGGUCUAAUACCGGAUGCGACUACUGCCCGCAUGGGCUGGUGGUGGAAAGGGUUAUGUACUGGUCUUAGAUGGGCUCACGGCCUAUCAGCUGGUUGGUGGGGUAAUGGCCUACCAAGGCGACGACGGGUAGCCGGCCUGAGAGGGUGACCGGCCACACUGGGACUGAGACACGGCCCAGACUCCUACGGGAGGCAGCAGUGGGGAAUAUUGCACAAUGGGCGCAAGCCUGAUGCAGCGACGCCGCGUGAGGGAUGACGGCCUUCGGGUUGUAAACCUCUUUCAGCAGGGAAGAAGCGGAAGUGACGGUACCUGCAGAAGAAGCGCCGGCUAACUACGUGCCAGCAGCCGCGGUAAUACGUAGGGCGCAAGCGUUGUCCGGAAUUAUUGGGCGUAAAGAGCUCGUAGGCGGCUUGUCGCGUCUGCUGUGAAAGCCCGGGGCUUAACUCCGGGUGUGCAGUGGGUACGGGCAGGCUAGAGUGCAGUAGGGGUAACUGGAAUUCCUGGUGUAGCGGUGAAAUGCGCAGAUAUCAGGAGGAACACCGAUGGCGAAGGCAGGUUACUGGGCUGUUACUGACGCUGAGGAGCGAAAGCAUGGGGAGCGAACAGGAUUAGAUACCCUGGUAGUCCAUGCCGUAAACGUUGGGCACUAGGUGUGGGGGACA